Molecule: microRNA precursor, 93 nt
Filed under: Xenopus tropicalis (tropical clawed frog)
Lineage: Eukaryota; Metazoa; Chordata; Amphibia; Anura; Pipidae
Description: microRNA xtr-mir-221 precursor
Gene: xtr-mir-221
Rfam family: mir-221 microRNA precursor family
Source: miRBase by way of RNAcentral
ACCCAGACUUUGGCGUGCACCUGGCAUACAAUGUAGAAAACUGUGUUUGCAAAGCAACAGCUACAUUGUCUGCUGGGUUUCAUGCUGAAUGGA